RNAcentral lists this ribosomal RNA (512 nucleotides) under uncultured bacterium. Its description in RNAcentral is "bacterial SSU rRNA". It matches the Rfam family "Bacterial small subunit ribosomal RNA", at positions 24 to 518 of the family's 1533-position model. The record is from RNAcentral.
UCAGGACGAACGCUGGCGGCGUGCCUAAUACAUGCAAGUCGAGCGGACUGAUGGGAGCUUGCUCCCUGAUGUUAGCGGCGGACGGGUGAGUAACACGUGGGCAACCUGCCCUAUAGCUUGGGAUAACUCCGGGAAACCGGGGCUAAUACCGAAUAAUACAAUUUAGCUCCUGCUAGAUUGUUGAAAGAUGGUUUCGGCUAUCGCUAUAGGAUGGGCCCGCGGCGCAUUAGCUAGUUGGUAAGGUAACGGCUUACCAAGGCGACGAUGCGUAGCCGACCUGAGAGGGUGAUCGGCCACACUGGGACUGAGACACGGCCCAGACUCCUACGGGAGGCAGCAGUAGGGAAUCUUCCACAAUGGACGAAAGUCUGAUGGAGCAACGCCCGCGUGAGUGAAGAAGGUUUUCGGAUCGUAAAACUCUGUUGUAAGGGAAGAACAAGUACAGUAGUAACUGGCUGUACCUUGACGGUACCUUAUUAGAAAGCCACGGCUAACUACGUGCCAGCCGCUGC